AGAGAAAGGAGGAGUCUCUUCCAUAAGCCAGCAAUUGAUUUGUUCUACAAACUUUUCAACUAGACCAAGAAAAAUUUAGAUAUUUCAAUUAACUCAAAUGCAAUAUUAUGUUUACGUUGUAUUAGAGUUUAAUGCGGAAACGCCCUGAAUCGUCCAGUUUGAAGCAUUUCGAGCCGUAUCGACUGCGGACUGAGACGGUUCUGGCAACAAAAACGAGACCGACAUCGGAAAGAGAGAGGACGAAGAAAAAAAGAAAAAGAGAGAGAAAACGAGGGAGGGAGGGAGAGAGAGGAAAAUCAAGAUCGGGAAACCACUGCACAUAGGAGGGAGCCGUAGAAGAGAGGCUC
Molecule: long non-coding RNA, 347 nt
Filed under: Phoenix dactylifera (date palm)
Lineage: Eukaryota; Viridiplantae; Streptophyta; Magnoliopsida; Arecales; Arecaceae
Description: long non-coding RNA (PDAC_LNC007022)
Source: RNAcentral